UAUAUAUAUUUGCUUGUCAGUUCUCUGCAUGUGGGACCGGGAUGCCUCAGAGGCAAAUCAGAGUCUCCAGUUUCCUCUGCUGGCUCUGCAGAAGCACCUGGGUCAGGACCUUCAAUAGCCAUGAGGCCGCGUGUCUUGUUACAGAGGGACUAAAUCCAUCACUUCUGAAAGCAGGAGAUGAUGCUGGCAACUGAAGGGGCCUUGAAACAUGUUCCAUUAUUCCUGCCUGUUCGAAUAGCAGCUUAAGUGCUUACAAAUUGAUCAGAUGCUUUCAGCAAGCUAUGAAAAGGGCUAUGGUCUAGGCAACAUUAAUCUGAAUCUCAGACUCAAUUUCCUCCUCUGCUACAGCUGUCCUGUGUGACCUUCAAUGAGGGACUCUUUCUGUUCUUCGGUUCCUUAUUGUAAAAAUGGGCUACUAAUAACAUUUCCUAAAAUGGCAUGUGAGGAUAAAUAAUGACUAUCAUACACUCAGGUAUUAGCACAUAAAGGGGCUGCAUAAGAAUCUUGAAAACUCCUGCCAGAAAGAUUUUGACCAGUUCCAGUCGGUGCCUGGACAGUAACAGUCUGAUGUUUGCCAUGUUCCCUGUCUGUCUGUUACUUAGCAUGACAGUUCAUACAGGCAUACUUAAACCAAGUAUUCUUGAUUUAAUUCCAACCAAGUAAUUCUAAGUAAUGUGUGGAUAAUUUUGGAACAAGAAAAUUUGUAUGUAGUCAAAAUGUAGUCAUAGUAUUAGAUAUCCUGAUGCAAUUUGUCAUUUAGAGAACUUCUUUUAUUUGUCAGUCAUCAUUUCCUCUCUUUUCCAAUCUUCGAAAACAAGCUGGUGCUUUAAAAUCCAGAAGAGGGUUUUUAUGUGUGUGGCCAAAUCCACACAACUGUAAAGAUGAAAAUAAGAGUCCCAUAAGGCCUUUAUCACCUGAUUGAAAUUCCACUGUCUUCAGCAGAGCUUCAGCUGGAGAUGGAUUAACCUGAUCCUAGAUGAGAGCUGAGAAAGACGCAUCUCUUGCCUGCAGGGAGAGAUGUGUUUUCCCUUUAGAUGCAGCCCUUCUGGAAGUGAUGAUUGCCAACAACAACUACUGCUAGAAUACCCUGCUAGACCAUGGCGUGGCCUUCACCGGGUGAAGUUAGAGCUUGGUUUUUGGUUGUAGUUCUAAUGUGUGUCAGUACUUUUGCUAGCAUGGCAGCCUGCAGUUUGGUUAACAAUACUUUGAAAAUGUCUCUGCUAGCAAUCCUAGUAACCACUAUUUUAAAUAACUGCUGUCAGUCUUGCAGACUCAGCUGCAAUAUCUGUUCAGUUUGCAGUGUGCGCAGUAUUUUGUAACCAGGCCAACGUUUUAAAAGUAACAUAAACAUAUGUAGUGCCUCAUCUUUGCUAAAUUUAAAGCAGUGUCGUUAGGUUUAAGAAACAGUGAUCCAGCAACGUUGGCUUUAAUAGUACUAACAGGCCUAUAAAAUGGCCAGUGUGGUCGCUUCUGUUUGUCUUGGUUAUCCUGCAGCAUCGCAGGUAAUUCAUUCUCUCACAAGAAGUUCCAAAAAUUCCAGUGAAUGGAGAAUGUUGCCACAUAAAACUUGGUUGCUAUUUCUGUAAGAUAACUAUUACAGUAACUAACUAUAUAUAGCCAGAAGUAAUUGCUUCUGUAAAUAAAAUACCAGUGAACACAUUACAAGAUUAAAGAGAAACUUUGAGCUUCCAUCACAGCUAUUUGCCGACUCCCACCCAUAUACACACAAUGACUUUGCAGUCAUGGCUCUGCAAUACCAGAAGACUUAAUUUAGGAUGUGCGUGGCAUGUUACACUACCUCACAUUCCUAAAUGAAGUGUUCUUCCAUUAGCUGCUUAGUUUUCAUUUUAGCUGGCCACUUCACCUUUCAUUGGUGAAGAAAAGUACAGUCAUUUCACCAAGUAUACUGCAUUGCAAUUACUUGUUAAUCUUACUUUAUAGUUAGGAUUUAUAAAUGUAUGGUAAAGACUGUAGGUGACCAUGGGGAUUUGGAUGUAUUUUUAGAAAAUAUUAUUUUGAAACUCCCAUUCUUAAUAAUAAUAAAAAAAGUCUUUAAAAUGACAGUUAUAGGUAGUAAAAACAAGAUAAAUUGCUGGAAGAUCAGAUCAGAAGUGAUGCACCUUAAUAAAUGUGUGAGCAGUCUUUAAAAGGGAAAGUGAUAUUAAAUAACUUGAAUACCAUGCUGAUAGAGGAAGAGAUGCUGGUUAAGUACCUUUGAAGGUAGGCUUACAGUGAUUUCUAGCAUUUUCUAGUGAAGUAGAAGAGUUAUUCCCUAUGAACUGUGGGGGUUUUGCUUACCGCUUCUGGUAAAACUAGAAAGCUUGUUCAUCCUUCAUACCCCUUACUGGGAGGGAGUUACAGGGCACAACCAUAAGGGUUUGAAAGUCCCUUUUUCUUCUUUCCUAGUCUAUCAUUAUUUAGACCAAGCUGUUUUUGCAUCUGAACUUUUCAGAAACAAGUCUAUUCCCACAAAAGACCUUUUGCUUCUUGAGUCCUUGUUGUUUCUGUUAAUAUUAUCAUAAGAACUCGGAGCUGCUGUGAUGGAGCAGGAUCCUACCAAGCUAUAGGUAGAAGAGCAGACCAGUAUUGUGUGUAUUUGUGGGUGUCACAGUAGAGUUUGGAGUCUGAAACCCAGUGGGCAGAUGGACAGAUGUCUCCAGGGAACUGCUAGGCAUGAGGGCAGCAUAGAAAAAAACCACUUCUGCUCUUGAAUUAAGACAUAAGAAAGGAGUUUUGCCUGCUUCUAAGAAUCAGUGAUCAGAGAAGGUGUUGACAUUUUAUUAGGAAAGAGCCAUUGUAGACGGAGUGGGGAUGGGCUGCGUAGGAACCUGAAAGUGAAAAUCAACAGCAUGAGUUUAUGCUGACAAGAAUAAAUGAGAGCAACCAGUAUGUUGUUUUAGGCAAAAACCUACACAAAUCCUUACAACAUUCCGAAUGAACAGGAGUGAUGCAGGAAUACAUCUGUCAUAACUAAAAAAGCAGGCUGAUGCUCCUUUGUGUCCUUGACAGACUGUGAUUGAAGAUUUCACUGCUGAAAAAAAUCAGCAAGACAAACUCUAAAGAUAAUUCAGAGUAGAUGACGCCCAUGUUAUUAGACCUGACAGUAGUGUGACAGGAAAGGUAACAAGGAAGAUUCACUAUGGGAAACAGAAUUGUAUUAACUUGGUUGUUUUGUCUCUUUGUAUUUGAAUACUUUUUGCAGCAACUCACCAUCAGCUCUCCCCCAAAAUGCAGAUAUUUGUGUUCUCAUUUUGCCAUCAAACAAGAUGGCACCAAGGAACAGCCCAUAUUUUAGCAGUGUUGCUUCUGUAGCAACAGUAAUAAAUGCUGUUGAUGGGCAAUAACCUGGUGUCACAACAGUAUCCCAGUUGUAAAUACACACCAUAGCAGAGAGUACUCCCAUCACUCUCCCUUUGUGUGCCUAGAUAGAUCUCUUCUGCCAGUUUGAGAAAUGCCUCUCCCUAAAGUGCCUUUGCGAGAAAAAGUGAACUGGAAGAUUGUAGGAGGAACACACACAUGCGAGUCUGUGUUUGGCCCAUUAAAGGAGGUACUGAGUGAGUUUCCUGUAGAGUUUGGAAGGAGCCUCCAUAAAAUUAAGUCAAAUUUGGUUUCCUCUCCCAAGAGAGCUUUGUGAAGCUGUCUUGUAAAGCGGAAGGAUACGAGCACGUAAGUUGAACAGCUGUUUGAAGGGCAAAUCUAGAAAACAUUCCUAUCAGGGACAAUUCCAGAACAUGUUUAAUCAUGCGGUGUAAAUCAGUUCUGUAUUUCUCAUCUGCUAAGGAUGGACCAUUUGUGCCUUUCCACUGCAGUAAUUGCACUCUUGCCGUGCAGUCACUUGCUGCUGCUUAGUCUCCCUUGUUUUCAGCUGAAGCUCCCUGAACUCCCUCAUGUCAAAUAGAGAACAGAAAGCUGUACGUGCACAACAUGUUGUUUUUUAUUCUGAAGUGCUUUGCUGAAGUUACUGAUGUCUUUUUAAACUGAACAUGCGCUUCACUACACAGCUUCAUGGCUAUGAUACAACUGCAAGUUGUCUCCUGAGGUAAAUAAUCAUUCCCCAGCUUAGCUAGAAAAAUAAAAUCCUUAUAGAGGGUAUUUCAGACAGCUGGCAAUAAAUAAAUUGUCAUCCACUCCAUGCAAUCUACUAAUAAUGAAGAAAGAGAAGAAAACCAUCCAUAUUUUAUAUUCCACAUGCUGAUGCACUGUCCUUAUGGAAAAAGGUGAGUGUCAACAUGUCACAGCUUGCUGACUUCAGAUGCCUUUCUGAACACUGUCUCUCAUCAGUAGCCUUGUAUUCCCAAAGUAACGAGUAUUAAGUUUCAGCGAAAGGCUUGAACUAUCCCAUUAAUAACCUAAUGGCUGAAGUAGGAUUCAGUGGGUUUUACUGAAACAAUCCCAGACCUGAAAUAUUUGAACUCACUCAUUUCUGCUUGUCUUUUUUCUCGAUAGGUAUUCAUGUGGAUCCAAUCACUGGAUAAAUUUCUGAAUCAGCAGAAGACAUCUGAACUCUUUCCAAACUAGAGGUCAUUAAAAUUAGUGCAGAUCACAGCUUUCUGUAUUUUGGAGCAAGUGUAAGCUACUUCCAUAUGUUGGAGGAAGAGUUACAUAAGGAAACUGCUCCUUUUAUUUACAAAUAUAAGUUUAAUAAAUAAAGUGCCAUAAAGUGCCUACAUUUCUCCCCAGGCUAAAUCUAGUGUAAAAAUUCUAAUGCAAACUGGAGCAUAAACCAGAAAUCUCAUGAGUCUGAACGGGGUAUAAAGAUACGUUAAGGACAGUAUAAAUAAACAGAUUAAGUAAAUGGGAGAAAACAAAACUGAAACAAUGAUGUGCUACGUGAUGUGGAUAAACACAUACUUUGAAUUAUUUAGUUCAUGAAGAGUGAAGUGAUGUGGGGACCGUGGUACCUGCAAGAACAGUCAAAUCAAAGACAGAAAUAUUAGUAUUUUGUCUAUGCUACUAUUUAAAGCAUCACGUAUAGGCUUUUAGAGGCAGUAAGUUUCUUUGGCUUUUCCUAAGGAUGGGUGAAGGACACUGGAUUUCCCAGACUCAGAAUGUUAAUACCAUGGGUACUGACAGUCUCCCAAAGGACUCCUUCAGUUAUAUUAGUAUUAGGGAUGGGAAACACUUUUCAUGAAUAGCACUUCAGAAAAAUGCCAUGCCUUUAUAAUUCUGACAUACAUUUUCAUCGAAUUGUGUUGACAGUUAUGGUCAAAAAUAAACCCACAAUUUUUUUU
This is a long non-coding RNA of Neopsephotus bourkii (Bourke's parrot), 5231 nucleotides long. RefSeq lists it as uncharacterized. The transcript is spliced from 2 exons. The record is from RefSeq and is a predicted model, not a curated record. Lineage: Eukaryota; Metazoa; Chordata; Aves; Psittaciformes; Psittacidae.